Molecule: ribosomal RNA, 495 nt
Filed under: uncultured bacterium
Lineage: Bacteria
Description: partial 16S ribosomal RNA
Rfam family: Bacterial small subunit ribosomal RNA
Source: RNAcentral
GACGAACGCUGGCGGCGUGCCUAAUACAUGCAAGUAGAACGCUGAAGGAGGAGCUUGCUUCUCCGGAUGAGUUGCGAACGGGUGAGUAACGCGUAGGUAACCUGCCUGGUAGCGGGGGAUAACUAUUGGAAACGAUAGCUAAUACCGCAUAAGAGUAGAUGUCGCAUGACAUUUGCUUAAAAGGUGCAACUGCACCACUACCAGAUGGACCUGCGUUGUAUUAGCUAGUUGGUGAGGUAACGGCUCACCAAGGCAACGAUACAUAGCCGACCUGAGAGGGGGAUCGGCCACACUGGGACUGAGACACGGCCCAGACGCCUACGGGAGGCAGCAGUAGGGAAUCUUCGGCAAUGGACGGAAGUCUGACCGAGCAACGCCGCGUGAGUGAAGAAGGUUUUCGGAUCGUAAAGCUCUGUUGUAAGAGAAGAACGAGUGUGAGAGUGGAAAGUUCACACUGUGACGGUAUCUUACCAGAAAGGGACGGCUAACUACGUG